UGAGGGAUCCAAGUCAAACAAUAUUCUGUCACCUGCUCAAGAACUCUUCAUUCCCAGCCUCUGGAGUGUGGAGUAAUCCUGAGUAACUCUCAAGGUCAAGCCCCCAUCAGUCAGAAUGACAACUUAAAUUGUAAGAAGUACAGAACAUCCCAUUCAAGAUGUCUAAUGAGCAGUUGGAUAGAAGACACUGGAGGGCAGCAGAGAGGCUAGGGCUGGAUAAAUGCAUCUCAGAAUGAUCAACAUAGAGAUGAGUGAAUGUUUGGGAGCUGAUGAGAUCACCACCUGAAAUAGUAUGGAGAGUGAAGAGAAAAGAGCCUGGGCAGAGCUAUGUGGGAAAACUGGUUAAUGGUGCACUAACAAAAUUAUUUUCCUUAACUAAAAUCUCUACCCCCAAAUAAUAAACAACCUGCACUCUUA
This is a long non-coding RNA of Monodelphis domestica (gray short-tailed opossum), 417 nucleotides long. RefSeq lists it as uncharacterized. Lineage: Eukaryota; Metazoa; Chordata; Mammalia; Didelphimorphia; Didelphidae. The record is from RefSeq and is a predicted model, not a curated record.